Molecule: ribosomal RNA, 490 nt
Filed under: uncultured bacterium
Lineage: Bacteria
Description: partial 16S ribosomal RNA
Rfam family: Bacterial small subunit ribosomal RNA
Source: RNAcentral
AUUGAACGCUGGCGGCAUGCUUUACACAUGCAAGUCGGACGGCAGCACAGAGAAGCUUGCUUCUUGGGUGGCGAGUGGCGAACGGGUGAGUAACAUAUCGGAACGUACCGAGCAGUGGGGGAUAACUAAUCGAAAGAUUAGCUAAUACCGCAUAUUUUCUGAGGAAGAAAGCAGGGGACCUUUGGGCCUUUCGCUGUUUGAGCGGCCGAUAUCUGAUUAGCUAGUUGGUGGGGUAAAGGCCUACCAAGGCGACGAUCAGUAGCGGGUCUGAGAGGAUGAUCCGCCACACUGGGACUGAGACACGGCCCAGACUCCUACGGGAGGCAGCAGUGGGGAAUUUUGGACAAUGGGCGCAAGCCUGAUCCAGCCAUGCCGCGUGUCUGAAGAAGGCCUUCGGGUUGUAAAGGACUUUUGUCAGGGAAGAAAAGGGCGGGGUUAAUACCCCUGUCUGAUGACGGUACCUGAAGAAUAAGCACCGGCUAACUACGUG